RNAcentral lists this transfer RNA (68 nucleotides) under Pleroneura sp. 1 GYN-2021b. Its description in RNAcentral is "tRNA-His". The record is from RNAcentral. Lineage: Eukaryota; Metazoa; Arthropoda; Insecta; Hymenoptera; Xyelidae.
AUUUAAGUAGUUUAAUAAAAAUUUUGAUUUGUGGUGUCAGGGAUAUAAAAUUAAUUUUAUCUUAAGUU